GAGGUUAUAGCUCAAGUGGUAGAGUGCGUGCUUAGCAUGCACAAGGUCCUGGGUUCGAUCCCCAGUACCUCC
RNAcentral lists this transfer RNA (72 nucleotides) under Camelus bactrianus (Bactrian camel). It matches the Rfam family "tRNA". Rfam says of the family: Transfer RNA (tRNA) molecules are approximately 80 nucleotides in length. Their secondary structure includes four short double-helical elements and three loops (D, anti-codon, and T loops). RNAcentral also lists the same sequence under 1 other name. Lineage: Eukaryota; Metazoa; Chordata; Mammalia; Artiodactyla; Camelidae. The record is from Rfam by way of RNAcentral.